Molecule: long non-coding RNA, 616 nt
Organism: Micropterus dolomieu (smallmouth bass)
Lineage: Eukaryota; Metazoa; Chordata; Actinopteri; Centrarchiformes; Centrarchidae
Exons: 3
Source: RefSeq, a predicted model, not a curated record
UAUCCUGCUCAGCCGGCAAGUCAACACAGUGGACGCUGUAGCGCUACCGCCACCUAGUGUUUGGGGGUGUAAUUGCAGAUUGACAGACACACGGACGCACAAAUAUAAAUGCCUAGCUACGUGUGUAGCCGACGGCGUAGCUACGCACGUAGAUCCUACGCAGGAGUAUAAAUCAAGCUUUGAGCAUCUGGGGGCCUGUUUCAAGAGCUAUUGUGGGACCUUGCCCAUAAAAGAAAGGGAAAAAAAUAAGAUUUUAAAGCACUGAAGUGGACGAAGCAGAUCACCACCUGGUGCUCUCUUCCUUGCCUACGCCUGCACACCGUUAUCCAUCCUGCUCUUGUGGCUUACGUAACAAGGCACUUCAAAGACCAGCCAGGGGAAGGUGGUGUCCAAGAAGACCGGAACGCUGGUCCAGAAAAAGGCAGCAACUGUGAAUCCCUAUGUGAAUUCCCUACCCUAAUAAAAAACCUCCUGGACUUUAAGUGAGACUUUAUGUAGUCCACAACACAUCGCCACACAGGACCUCACUUUCAAACAAACGAAAGCCCUCAAAACAACCAGAUCAUCAUAAGGUCAUUUUAAGGUAACAUGUCUCAGCAUUGUGUUCUGUUCAGUA